UUAUAUGUAAAUUUUAAUAUAAAUUAUAAUUUUAAAUAAAUAGUUGUACAGUAAAAAAAAUUAAAUAUUUAGUAAUUUAAGAUUUAGCAAUAAUAAAUGUUAUUAACAAAAUUUGUGCCAGCAGUUGCGGUUAUUCAAAUAAUAAAAUAAAAAUUUAUUUAAAAUUAAUAAAUUUUAUAUUAUAUAUACGUAUAUUUAUUAUUAUUAGGUGAAAUUUUAAUUUUUAAUUAAGUAAUUUUUUUUUAUUUGAUUUCAGAAUUUACAAUAAAAGACUAGGAUUAGAUACCCUAUUAUUUAGUAGAGUAAAAAAUAUUUUUAAAUUAGUAUUUGUUAUGAUCAUCAAAAUUAAAAAAUUUGGCGGUAUUUUAAUCUAUUCAGAGGAACCUGUUCAGUAAUUGAUAAUCCACGAUUUAUUUUACUUUUUUUAAUAAUUUGUAUAUCGUCGUUAAAAAUAUUUUUAUAUAAUUUUAAUAUUUGUAAUUUUUAAAAAAAUUAUAAAACAGAUCAUGAUGCAGUUUAUAUUAAAGUUAGAAAUGGGUUACAUUAAAAUUUUAUUUUUGAAUAUUUAAUUGUAAAUUAAAUUGAAAUUGGAUUUGAUAGUAAUUUUUAUUAGAUAAUAAAAAUGAUUAUAGCUCUAAAAUAUGUACAUAUCGCCCGUCGCUUUCAAUAAAAUGAAAUAAGUCGUAACAAAGUAGAUUAACUGGAAAGUGAAUCUAGAAAGUC
RNAcentral lists this non-coding RNA (723 nucleotides) under Spilopyra sumptuosa. The record is from RNAcentral. Lineage: Eukaryota; Metazoa; Arthropoda; Insecta; Coleoptera; Chrysomelidae.